This 253-nucleotide ribosomal RNA is filed under the name uncultured bacterium. Its description in RNAcentral is "partial 16S ribosomal RNA". It matches the Rfam family "Bacterial small subunit ribosomal RNA", at positions 524 to 776 of the family's 1533-position model. The record is from RNAcentral.
UACGUAGGGCGCAAGCGUUGUCCGGAAUUAUUGGGCGUAAAGAGCUCGUAGGCGGUCUGUUACGUCCGCUGUGAAAUCCCAGGGCUUAACCCUGGGCUUGCAGUGGAUACGGGCAGACUAGAGGCAGGUAGGGGAGAAUGGAAUUCCCGGUGUAGCGGUGAAAUGCGUAGAUAUCAGGAGGAAUACCGGUGGCGAAAGCGACUCUCUGGACGGCAACUGACGCUGAGGCACGAAAGCGUGGGGAGCAAACAGG